RNAcentral lists this ribosomal RNA (253 nucleotides) under uncultured bacterium. RNAcentral's name for it is "partial 16S ribosomal RNA". It matches the Rfam family "Bacterial small subunit ribosomal RNA", at positions 524 to 776 of the family's 1533-position model. The record is from RNAcentral.
UACAGAGGUCUCAAGCGCUGUUCGGAAUCACUGGGCGUAAAGGGUGCGUAGGCCGCACGGUAAGUCAGAGGUGAAAUCCCGGGGCUCAACCUCGGAAUUGCCUCCGAUACUGCCGUGCUUGAGGACUGGAGAGGAGAUUGGAAUUCACAGUGGAGCAGUGAAAUGCGUAGAUAUUGUGAGGAACACUAGUGGCGAAGGCGAAUCUCUGGACAGUUCCUGACGCUGAGGCACGAAGGCCAGGGGAGCAAACGGG